AGAGUUUGAUCCUGGCUCAGGAUGAACGCUAGCGGCAGGCUUAACACAUGCAAGUCGAGGGGCAUCAUUACGGUUAGCAAUAACCGUAGAUGGCGACCGGCGCAAGGGUGCGUAACGCGUGAGCAACAUGCCCGUAUCAGGGGGAUAACCCGGAGAAAUCCGGACUAAAACCCCAUAACGACCCGGAGAGGCAUCUUUUCGGGUUCAAAUCUAUGGAGGAUACGGAUUGGCUCGCGUAACAUUAGCUGGAUGGAGAGGUAACGGCUCCCCAUGGCGACGAUGUUUAGGGGUUCUGAGAGGAAGGUCCCCCACACUGGAACUGAGAUACGGUCCAGACUCCUACGGGAGGCAGCAGUGAGGAAUAUUGGACAAUGGAUGGAAAUCUGAUCCAGCCAUGCCGCGUGCAGGAAGAGAGCCCUAUGGGUUUUAAACUGCUUUUGUAUGGGAGCAAUAAGUUGUUUUCGGAACGAUGAUGAGAGUACCAUACGAAUAAGCAUCGGCUAACUCCGUGCCAGCAGCCGCGGUAAUACGGAGGAUGCGAGCGUUAUCCGGAUUUAUUGGGUUUAAAGGGUGCGUAGGCGGUUACCGUAAGUCAGUGGUGAAAACCCCCCGCCCAACGGGGGACGUGCCACAGAAACUGCGGAGCUGGAAUAUGGGCGCUGUUGGCGGAAUGUGUAGUGUAGCGGUGAAAUGCAUAGAUAUUACACAGAACACCGAUUGCGAAGGCAGCCAACAAGGGCAAUAUUGACGCUGAUGCACGAAAGUGUGGGGAUCGAACAGGAUUAGAUACCCUGGUAGUCCACACAGUAAACGAUGAUAACUCGCUGUCGGCGAUACACAGUCGGUAGUCAAGCGAAAGCGAUAAGUUAUCCACCUGGGGAGUACGACCGCAAGGUUGAAACUCAAAGGAAUUGACGGGGGCCCGCACAAGCGGAGGAACAUGUGGUUUAAUUCGAUGAUACGCGAGGAACCUUACCCGGGCUCGAACGGUAUGCGGCGAUACCAGAGAUGGUGUUUUCAGCAAUGACGCAUAUCGAGGUGCUGCAUGGUUGUCGUCAGCUCGUGCCGUGAGGUGUCGGCUUAAGUGCCAUAACGAGCGCAACCCUCAUCGACAGUUACCAUCGGUUAAAGCCGGGGACUUUGUCGAGACUGCCGCCGUAAGGUGCGAGGAAGGUGGGGAUGACGUCAAAUCAGCACGGCCCUUACGUCCGGGGCGACACACGUGUUACAAUGGCAGGUACAGAGAGCGAGCCGGUGACGGCGAGGGAAUCUCGAAAGCCUGUCUCAGUUCGGAUUGGAGUCUGCAACCCGACUCCAUGAAGUUGGAUUCGCUAGUAAUCGCGCAUCAGCCAUGGCGCGGUGAAUACGUUCCCGGGCCUUGUACACACCGCCCGUCAAGCCAUGGAAGCCGGGGGUGCCUGAAGCUCGAGACCGCGAGGAUCGAUCAAGGGCAAAACCGGUAACUGGGGCUAAGUCGUAACAAGGUAACC
This 1490-nucleotide ribosomal RNA is filed under the name uncultured bacterium. Its description in RNAcentral is "bacterial SSU rRNA". It matches the Rfam family "Bacterial small subunit ribosomal RNA". The record is from RNAcentral.